UACGAAGGGAGCUAGCGUUGUUCGGAAUCACUGGGCGUAAAGCGCACGUAGGCGGAUUUGUCAGUCAGGGGUGAAAUCCCGGGGCUCAACCUCGGAACUGCCUUUGAUACAGCAAGUCUUGAGUUCGAGAGAGGUGGGUGGAAUUCCUAGUGUAGAGGUGAAAUUCGUAGAUAUUAGGAAGAACACCGGUGGCGAAGGCGGCCCACUGGCUCGAUACUGACGCUGAGGUGCGAAAGCGUGGGGAGCGAACGGG
This 253-nucleotide ribosomal RNA is filed under the name uncultured bacterium. Its description in RNAcentral is "partial 16S ribosomal RNA". It matches the Rfam family "Bacterial small subunit ribosomal RNA", at positions 524 to 776 of the family's 1533-position model. The record is from RNAcentral.